GCCUGGCUGGCUCAGUUGGAGGAGCGUGUGACUCUCGAUCUCGGGGUCAUGAGUUCGAGCCCCGUGUUGGGUG
RNAcentral lists this transfer RNA (73 nucleotides) under Ailuropoda melanoleuca (giant panda). It matches the Rfam family "tRNA". Rfam says of the family: Transfer RNA (tRNA) molecules are approximately 80 nucleotides in length. Their secondary structure includes four short double-helical elements and three loops (D, anti-codon, and T loops). Further hydrogen bonds mediate the characteristic L-shaped molecular structure. tRNAs have two regions of fundamental functional importance: the anti-codon, which is responsible for specific mRNA codon recognition, and the 3' end, to which the tRNAs corresponding amino acid is attached (by aminoacyl-tRNA synthetases). tRNAs cope with the degeneracy of the genetic code in two manners: having more than one tRNA (with a specific anti-codon) for a particular amino acid; and 'wobble' base-pairing, i.e. permitting non-standard base-pairing at the 3rd anti-codon position. Lineage: Eukaryota; Metazoa; Chordata; Mammalia; Carnivora; Ursidae. The record is from Rfam by way of RNAcentral.